CUAACUGAAUCUAAUUCAAUUAAAUCUGAUCCAAUCUCCAUAGCUCAAUCAAAUUAAGUCAAUAAUUAUCAAAUUAUUAAUUAAUUAUUAAUCUAAUUUAUCAAUUAUUAGUAAAUAAUUUAUUACAAUCUUUGCAUAAGAUUAAUUAUCAAUCAUAUUGAUAAUUAAAUUCUUCAAUGAUUCAUAAUCGUCGAUCAGCUAUUUGAUCAGACAAGUACUUUUAUGUGUGUGACCCCAUAGG
Molecule: long non-coding RNA, 241 nt
Filed under: Elaeis guineensis (African oil palm)
Lineage: Eukaryota; Viridiplantae; Streptophyta; Magnoliopsida; Arecales; Arecaceae
Description: long non-coding RNA (EGUI_LNC076573)
Source: RNAcentral